AUAUAUAACAAUCAAAUCUGUGUCACGGAAGAUAGAAAUGGAUAAU
RNAcentral lists this non-coding RNA (46 nucleotides) under Trypanosoma brucei brucei. Lineage: Eukaryota; Euglenozoa; Kinetoplastea; Trypanosomatida; Trypanosomatidae. The record is from RNAcentral.